Molecule: ribosomal RNA, 497 nt
Filed under: uncultured bacterium
Lineage: Bacteria
Description: partial 16S ribosomal RNA
Rfam family: Bacterial small subunit ribosomal RNA
Source: RNAcentral
GAUGAACGCUGGCGGCGUGCCUAAUACAUGCAAGUCGAGCGAACGGACGAGAAGCUUGCUUCUCUGAUGUUAGCGGCGGACGGGUGAGUAACACGUGGAUAACCUACCUAUAAGACUGGGAUAACUUCGGGAAACCGGAGCUAAUACCGGAUAAUAUUUUGAACCGCAUGGUUCAAAAGUGAAAGACGGUCUUGCUGUCACUUAUAGAUGGAUCCGCGCUGCAUUAGCUAGUUGGUAAGGUAACGGCUUACCAAGGCAACGAUGCAUAGCCGACCUGAGAGGGUGAUCGGCCACACUGGAACUGAGACACGGUCCAGACUCCUACGGGAGGCAGCAGUAGGGAAUCUUCCGCAAUGGGCGAAAGCCUGACGGAGCAACGCCGCGUGAGUGAUGAAGGUCUUCGGAUCGUAAAACUCUGUUAUUAGGGAAGAACAUAUGUGUAAGUAACUGUGCACGUCUUGACGGUACCUAAUCAGAAAGCCACGGCUAACUACGUG